UGCAGUAGAACGCUGAAGACUUUAGCUUGCUAAAGUUGGAAGAGUUGCGAACGGGUGAGUAACGCGUAGGUAACCUGCCUACUAGCGGGGGAUAACUAUUGGAAACGAUAGCUAAUACCGCAUAACAGCAUUUAACACAUGUUAGAUGCUUGAAAGGAGCAAUUGCUUCACUAGUAGAUGGACCUGCGUUGUAUUAGCUAGUUGGUGAGGUAACGGCUCACCAAGGCGACGAUACAUAGCCGACCUGAGAGGGUGAUCGGCCACACUGGGACUGAGACACGGCCCAGACUCCUACGGGAGGCAGCAGUAGGGAAUCUUCGGCAAUGGGGGCAACCCUGACCGAGCAACGCCGCGUGAGUGAAGAAGG
Molecule: ribosomal RNA, 367 nt
Filed under: Streptococcus lutetiensis
Lineage: Bacteria; Bacillati; Bacillota; Bacilli; Lactobacillales; Streptococcaceae
Description: bacterial SSU rRNA
Rfam family: Bacterial small subunit ribosomal RNA
Source: RNAcentral